UCUGUAGCUCAGCUGGCUUAGAGCAGCUGAUUUGUAAUCAGCAGGUCGUGGGUUCGAGUCCCUCCAGA
RNAcentral lists this transfer RNA (68 nucleotides) under uncultured Crocinitomix sp. It matches the Rfam family "tRNA". Rfam says of the family: Transfer RNA (tRNA) molecules are approximately 80 nucleotides in length. RNAcentral also lists the same sequence under 1 other name. The record is from RNAcentral. Lineage: Bacteria; Pseudomonadati; Bacteroidota; Flavobacteriia; Flavobacteriales; Crocinitomicaceae.